This 488-nucleotide ribosomal RNA is filed under the name uncultured Synergistales bacterium. RNAcentral's name for it is "bacterial SSU rRNA". It matches the Rfam family "Bacterial small subunit ribosomal RNA", at positions 8 to 519 of the family's 1533-position model. Lineage: Bacteria; Thermotogati; Synergistota; Synergistia; Synergistales. The record is from RNAcentral.
AGAGUUUGAUCAUGGCUCAGGACGAACGCUGGCGGCGUGUUUAACACAUGCAAGUCGAACGGGAGUAUCGAAGAAGCUUGCUUUUAAGAUACUUUAGUGGCGGACGGGUGAGUAACGCGUGAGGAGCUGUCCUAUGCAGGGGGACAACAGUUGGAAACGGCUGCUAAUACCCCAUAAGCCGAGAGGUAAAAGGAUUAAUCCGGCAAAGGAGGCACUCGCGUCCUAUCAGCUAGUAGGUUGGGUAACGGCCGACCUAGGCGAAGACGGGUAGCCGGCCUGAGAGGGCGAACGGCCACACUGGAACUGAGAUACGGUCCAGACUCCUACGGGAGGCAGCAGUGGGGAAUAUUGGGCAAUGGGGGCAACCCUGACCCAGCGACGCCGCGUGGGUGAAGAAAUCCUUCGGGAUGUAAAGCCCUGUUGUAUGGGAAGAGUAGAAGACGGUACCAUACGAGGAAGCCCCGGCAAACUACGUGCCAGCAGCCGCG